This is a long non-coding RNA of Lepidothrix coronata (blue-crowned manakin), 495 nucleotides long. RefSeq lists it as uncharacterized. NCBI's taxonomy places the organism in Eukaryota, Metazoa, Chordata, Aves, Passeriformes, Pipridae. The transcript is spliced from 3 exons. The record is from RefSeq and is a predicted model, not a curated record.
CAUUCGUCCUAUGCCUCUCAGGAUGCUUCUUCUAUCCUGCUCCUAAUUGGAAUACCAAAAACAUUGCUGCAGGACUAUAGCAGUGAGUAGGAGGCUGUAGUAAAUAGGGAGAGAGAGCAGCUUUACUUCAGGCCGGGGCGGCUCCACGGGUCCCUACCAAGGGAACCCGCUCCAAAUCCAAAAAAAACCACACCACUGCUUUCAGAAGCUGGGCUGCAGGUCACAGCCGCCCCAUCCCAGGUUGAGACCUCUCCUCAAACCUUGCCACCAGCUGAAGAAGAAGGGGCUGCCUCGCAGCUGCCAGUCCGGAGGGAGAAACCCUUCUACCACUGGGAAAAUUCUGCAGUUUCUGCAGUUGUUCCUUCAGCUGGUACUGUAGCCACUGCAGCCCCCUGGCCACUGGAGAAAGAAAGAAAAGGAAACUACACACUGUGGCCACCGGCACCUCACGACCACUUGUAAUCACCACGGGUGGGGAAACAAAGACUCCUGGCA